CCUACGGGUGGCAGCAGUGAGGAAUAUUGGUCAAUGGCCGGAAGGCUGAACCAGCCAAGCCGCGUGAAGGACGAAGGUGCCAAGCAUUGUAAACUUCUUUUGUCAGGGGACAAACUCAGGCACGAGAGCCUGACCGAGGGUACUUGAAGAAAAAGCAUCGGCUAACUCCGUGCCAGCAGCCGCGGUAAUACGGAGGAUGCGAGCGUUAUCCGGUUUUAUUGGGGUUAAAGGGUGCGUAGGCGGGCUGUUAAGUCAGAGGAAAAAGGCCGGGGCUCAACCCCGGCGAGCCGUGGAAACUGGCUGUCUUGAGAUGUCGAGAGGUAGGUGGAAUGCGCAGUGUAGCGGUGAAAUGCGUAGAUAUUGCGAAGAACUCCGAUGGCGAAGGCAGCAUACCGGCGGCGAUCUGACGCUGAGGCACGAAAGCGUGGGUAUCGAACAGGAUUAGAUACCCGAGUAGUC
Molecule: ribosomal RNA, 459 nt
Filed under: uncultured bacterium
Lineage: Bacteria
Description: partial 16S ribosomal RNA
Rfam family: Bacterial small subunit ribosomal RNA
Source: RNAcentral